This 742-nucleotide ribosomal RNA is filed under the name Lactococcus lactis. Its description in RNAcentral is "bacterial SSU rRNA". It matches the Rfam family "Bacterial small subunit ribosomal RNA", at positions 133 to 862 of the family's 1533-position model. Lineage: Bacteria; Bacillati; Bacillota; Bacilli; Lactobacillales; Streptococcaceae. The record is from RNAcentral.
UGAGCGGGGGACAACAUUUGGAAACGAAUGCUAAUACCGCAUAACAACUUUAAACACAAGUUUUAAGUUUGAAAGAUGCAAUUCGCAUCACUCAAAGAUGAUCCCGCGUUGUAUUAGCUAGUUGGUGAGGUAAAGGCUCACCAAGGCGAUGAUACAUAGCCGACCUGAGAGGGUGAUCGGCCACAUUGGGACUGAGACACGGCCCAAACUCCUACGGGAGGCAGCAGUAGGGAAUCUUCGGCAAUGGACGAAAGUCUGACCGAGCAACGCCGCGUGAGUGAAGAAGGUUUUCGGAUCGUAAAACUCUGUUGGUAGAGAAGAACGUUGGUGAGAGUGGAAAGCUCAUCAAGUGACGGUAACUACCCAGAAAGGGACGGCUAACUACGUGCCAGCAGCCGCGGUAAUACGUAGGUCCCGAGCGUUGUCCGGAUUUAUUGGGCGUAAAGCGAGCGCAGGUGGUUUAUUAAGUCUGGUGUAAAAGGCAGUGGCUCAACCAUUGUAUGCAUUGGAAACUGGUAGACUUGAGUGCAGGAGAGGAGAGUGGAAUUCCAUGUGUAGCGGUGAAAUGCGUAGAUAUAUGGAGGAACACCGGUGGCGAAAGCGGCUCUCUGGCCUGUAACUGACACUGAGGCUCGAAAGCGUGGGGAGCAAACAGGAUUAGAUACCCUGGUAGUCCACGCCGUAAACGAUGAGUGCUAGAUGUAGGGAGCUAUAAGUUCUCUGUAUCGCAGCUAACGCAAUA